UGGAUCCAGACUUUGAUCAUGGCUCAGGAUGAACGCUAGCUACAGGCUUAACACAUGCAAGUCGAGGGGAAACGACAUCGAAAGCUUGCUUUUGAUGGGCGUCGACCGGCGCACGGGUGAGUAACGCGUAUCCAACCUGCCCACCACUUGGGGAUAACCUUGCGAAAGUAAGACUAAUACCCAAUGACGUCUCUAGAAGACAUCUGAAGGAGAUUAAAGAUUUAUCGGUGAUGGAUGGGGAUGCGUCUGAUUAGCUUGUUGGCGGGGUAACGGCCCACCAAGGCGACGAUCAGUAGGGGUUCUGAGAGGAAGGUCCCCCACAUUGGAACUGAGACACGGUCCAAACUCCUACGGGAGGCAGCAGUGAGGAAUAUUGGUCAAUGGACGAGAGUCUGAACCAGCCAAGUAGCGUGCAGGAUGACGGCCCUAUGGGUUGUAAACUGCUUUUAUAAGGGAAUAAAGUGAGUCUCGUGAGACUUUUUGCAUGUACCUUAUGAAUAAGGACCGGCUAAUUCCGUGCCAGCAGCCGCGGUAAUACGGAAGGUCCGGGCGUUAUCCGGAUUUAUUGGGUUUAAAGGGAGCGUAGGCCGGAGAUUAAGCGUGUUGUGAAAUGUAGACGCUCAACGUCUGCACUGCAGCGCGAACUGGUUUCCUUGAGUACGCACAAAGUGGGCGGAAUUCGUGGUGUAGCGGUGAAAUGCUUAGAUAUCACGAAGAACUCCGAUUGCGAAGGCAGCUCACUGGAGCGCAACUGACGCUGAAGCUCGAAAGUGCGGGUAUCGAACAGGAUUAGAUACCCUGGUAGUCCGCACGGUAAACGAUGGAUGCCCGCUGUUGGUCUGAGUAGGUCAGCGGCCAAGCGAAAGCAUUAAGCAUCCCACCUGGGGAGUACGCCGGCAACGGUGCAACUCAAAUGAAUUGACGGA
RNAcentral lists this ribosomal RNA (926 nucleotides) under uncultured bacterium. RNAcentral's name for it is "bacterial SSU rRNA". It matches the Rfam family "Bacterial small subunit ribosomal RNA", at positions 1 to 917 of the family's 1533-position model. The record is from RNAcentral. RNAcentral also lists the same sequence under 1 other name.